CGAGGAACAGCAGCUUUUCUGGAACACUUGGGAGCAGAAGCAAAAACAAGAGCAAGAUCCUGAUGGCAUCCACCCAGCGCCAGACAGAGGAUACACUGUGGCACGUGGACUCCACCCCCCACACGACACACGCACGUACAAGCUGAGGCUCGGAAGGAGAACGUUCCAGGCCACGAGGUGGGGGGAGGAAGUGGCAAAUAAGCCCCAAAUGCACUGCACACCACACCCUGAGUCAGCUGGGUUUGCAUUUCUACAGCAAAGAGUCUGGACUGAAAGGGGUCCCAAGAGCCAAUAAGGAGUACAGCCCUGAACGAUCAAUCCAUCUGGGUCUCCUGAGGACUAUGAGGUAACCCCUGUCUUUCCUGUCACGGUGGAAAUGGGAAGCCAUUGUCAGGAGGAGGGGCCCACAGUGCUGAUUGCUAGAAGCCAGGCCAUGAGGAUGACUCUCGAGGAUGCAGGGUAAGGCCCUAUGAUAGGCUAGGGACCCUUCCUUUCCUGGAGUUUAGGGAUAGGCCAGCCCCACACUCUAGCAACACUCUCCUUUCAGUCCAUAAACAUGGAACAGCUGGGCAGAACAGAGCUCCAGCAAGGCUGGUCCUGCAUCUGCAAAGGGUGCAAGCAGGGGACAGUAGGCUCCAUACUUCCAACCUUCAAACGCAUUCUUUACCUGGAACUAUUCUUUUUUUAAAGAUUUUAUUUAUUUAAUGUUUGUAAGCACACUGUUGCUCUCUUCAGACACACCAGUAGAGGGCAUCAGAUCCCAUUACAUAUGGUGUGAGCCACCAUGUGGUUGCUGGGAAUUGAACUCAGGACCUCUGGAAGAGCAGUCAGUGCUCUUAACCAUGGAGCCAUCUCUCCAGCCCCAACCCUGGAACUAUUCUUGAGCAGGACAAGCCCACUCCCACUGCCUGAAGAAGUCAGUCUCAGGGACACGGUGUUCUGUGACUCUGCCGCCUACCCCAUCUGGGGCCACCUCUAUCCUAUAGGAGCUGAAGCUGGCUGGGAGUGAAGCGCAUGCCCAGCCUCUGUGAAGCUCUGGGGCACCCUAAUUCCAGCACCCAGGCCGGGAGGGAAGAGGACCUGCUCAGGACUGUCCUUAGGUGCUCUCUUCAGCAGCACUCAUGCUAACACUGGAACAAUACGGAGCAGAUUAGCACGGCCCCUGUGCGAGGAUGAUACAAAAAUUCACCGAGGGUCCCAUAGUCUUAAUAAAAGUAUGUACCUUACAAAAGAAAGUUUUAAAAGAAAACACUUGUCAAUAAAGUGAGUUCCAGGCCAGCCUGGCCCACUUGAGACCUAGCUUCCAAAACAAAAGGAAACCCAAAUCCCCAAACCAAAAUCCAGCUGGCCCUGGUAAUGCUGGCAGAUGCCAGUUGGGUGCAGUCUCAUCCCUAUGGCAACAGCCCCUCCCUUGAUGAAGACUUCCGACUUAUUUUCCAAUACAGUGUCUCUUUCCUUCCUUAGUCUUCAUUGUGGAUUUUUUUUUUCCUGACAUCUGUAAAAUUAUUUACAAUAAAAGACAUUCAGAGUUGGACAUCUGUAUAAUUAUUUACAAUAAAAGACACAUUCAGAGUUGGACCAACAAGAUAGAAAUAACCUACAGAGGCAAAGGAGGACAACAGCCACACUGACAGACAGCGCGUGCAUUCACAGGCCUCACCAGGGAGAGUUCGAGUUAGCUGGAGUGAUUCUCCUCAUCUGACAGAGAUUUCAUUCCAUGAGGAAAGACCUGGUGCAAAACCCGGAGACCAUCCUGAGCAGAGUACAGAUCACAAAUGCACUCUAGUGACAGGUCUCAGGGAGUUCCCAAGGCUCCCACUCAGGGCGCUUCACAUGGCGUGGUGGGAAUGGGCACAGAGACGAGAGACAACCAAGCUUGGAGCAGGAGAUCAGGACAGAGAUGGGAGCUCUAAAGAGAGAGGCUCUAUCCUUUCCCAGAGGCUGAGUGCCCCAAGUCUCCUGGAGCUAAGCUCCCGCCCACAGUCAGGACAGGGGCCCUGCAGGUAGGGAAGGGCAGCCACCUGCCCUACAUCAGCCCAACACUGGCAGUACAGCUCCAACCUGCCACUGUCUUAGAAUACUUUAGCUUAGAUUAAGAACUUCCUUCUGGAAAUGGCUCAGUAACCACUGAGCACUGGCUGUUCUUCUAGAGGUCCUGAGUUCAGUUCCCAGCAACCACAUGGUGGCUCACAACCAUUCCUGACUUUAGUUCUGGGGGAUCUGAUCCCCUCUUCUGCCCUCCUUGGGCACUGCACACACGAGGUAUGGGAACGUACGUGUAAAUGAAAUACUCACACAUAUAAAAUUAAAAUAAGUAAACCUAAACAAAAAAAAGUAAAGCAAAACAAACAAAGAACCCCCCCUCCUCAUCACACACCUUAGAAGAGUAAGGCCUAAAGGAGUAACUGUAGUGUAGUGGGGAGGCAAGACUGUGAGCGAGGCCGGGCGUGGCGUCGCACGCCUUUAAUCCCAGCACUUGGGAGGCAGAGGCAGGCGGAUUUCUGAGUUCGAGGCCAGCCUGGUCUACAGAGUGAGUUCCAGGACAGCCAGGGCUACACAGAGAAACCCUGUCUCGAAAAAACAAAAAGAAAAACAAACAAACAAACAAAGACUGUGAGGGAGGCAGCCCCUGUGAAGACCUCAGAGCAGGGGGUGGUCAGGCACUAAGCUUCCCUCACUGUUGGACCAAGAGACUUAGUUCAGGUGGACAUGGAGGUGCCUGUGUGUAUGAAGGGCCUAAGAGGGAGACUGAGGCAGGGACCUGAGAGGACCAAAAUGCACCCCCAGAUAGGCU
Molecule: long non-coding RNA, 2794 nt
Organism: Mus musculus (house mouse)
Lineage: Eukaryota; Metazoa; Chordata; Mammalia; Rodentia; Muridae
Product: predicted gene, 30718
Exons: 4
Source: RefSeq, a predicted model, not a curated record